This is a long non-coding RNA of Arvicola amphibius (Eurasian water vole), 1118 nucleotides long. RefSeq lists it as uncharacterized. The transcript is spliced from 2 exons. The record is from RefSeq and is a predicted model, not a curated record. NCBI's taxonomy places the organism in Eukaryota, Metazoa, Chordata, Mammalia, Rodentia, Cricetidae.
UGACCGACCUCCACGCUUGCAGCUCCCGUUUUCCCGGAACCCGGGCGGCUCCUUUGCUCAGUAUUGCGCCAUGCUGGAUAUUUUCAUCCUCAUGUUUUUUGCCAUCAUAGGCCUGGUGGUUCUGUCCUACAUUAUUUAUCUGCUCUAGUGGCCUGGAGCUGCAGGGGCUGCGAGGGGAAGGAUGGAGCCGAAGCGCCGAGCAUCCUGCUUGCUGACGCACCGGUGGAGUUUUGCUUCUGGGCGUUAUUCGGCUCCGGUGUUCCGGCCAGCCAGAGGGCUCUGCCCAAUAGCAGGACUCCUGAGGUCCUGGCUUCUUCCAGUGUGUCCGGAUCCGGCUUAACCCUUGGCCAGCAGGGGCUCUGUGAGGCAGAGGGGCUCCUGGGGACAUCAGGAGUUCAAGGACGCCACUGGCAGCUGCUGCGUGUGUUUACGCUGUAGACAGAGUGUACUGAAAAUGUGGAAGGUUGAAACGCAGAAUCAGUAAAGUCAGUGGAGAACUGCCCAACAUUCCAUGUGGGCAGCCUUUCCUUAGGUCUAAACGCAGUAACUGCACACAAUGCCAAAAUUUUCUGUCCUUUCUAUUUUUACAAGCAGGCGUUCCCUUGUAAACUCAAGGGCAAAUUCAGCUUGUCUGUUAUCAGCGUCUUUAUAGAUUGUACAGUCUGAGGUUGUGUGGUUUCCCUCGAUCUCCAGCCUUCCCCCAAAAAACCUCCUAUCAUUUGCAGUUUUUAAGAUUUAUCAUUUCCUCCCUCCUGACCCCAUAUGUCCCCAGCUUCUUAUUUGAUGAGAGACAUGGUUGUGAAGUUCUUAUUCUUUGUGGUUCCCUGUAAAGUAUUGAAACAAAAUGUCUAUGCUAGUUCAGGAAACGAAGUUUUACCUCUAAGGAAGGGGUUUUAAAACUUUUUUGAUUGUUAAAUGUUCUUUUGGUUUAAAAACAAAACAAAACUGUUUUCAUAGUUCCUUGUCCAGUUAGGGUUGGAAAAAAAACCCAUGUUUUAGGAAACAGAGUGGAUUUGGCCCCCAUCUGUGGUGUCUGUUAUUCCCUUGGAGACCCCAUCGUAAUUGUUCCACAUUGGUUUUCUUCUCUAGUGUAAGAAUAAACAAGGAAAAAGGAUUAA